Long non-coding RNA from Frankliniella occidentalis (western flower thrips), 2164 nucleotides. RefSeq lists it as uncharacterized. NCBI's taxonomy places the organism in Eukaryota, Metazoa, Arthropoda, Insecta, Thysanoptera, Thripidae. The record is from RefSeq and is a predicted model, not a curated record. The transcript is spliced from 5 exons.
UACCGUCGCCCGCGCUUCGGAAAGUUGGACAUUAGGCUUCGCAGCGUAAUGCAGGGAACAAGAAAACGGAAUUCACCAUGUUAAAGCAUAGCGAUUUCCCUUGUCUUCUGCCUCGCUCCUCUGCUCCUCUGCAUGUCGAAUGCUCCUGGCCGCAGAGGACGUUGCUGUUCGUGCAGCCAACGCCAGUGAAGAAGAAAAAGAAGAGCCAAGCUCGGCUCGUCCUCUUCGUCCUCGUCCUCGUCCUCGUCCAAAUGUCUUGGAGGAACACUUAGAUCGGAAGCAACGUGCUAAUGCAAUAUCCAUAUUCCCAUCUCCUGGGCCGUUCAGAAGACUAUUGCAUCUGCAGAAAUAGAAGAAUAAUGCGCAAGGCCCGGGAGGUGGGGCCGGUGCUUCAGUCACACCCACUCACUCGAGGAGCUGCACCUUUAGGUUGGCCCGGCUGCCUAGUGCUCCUCUCCUAAAGCUGUGGCGGAGAGGGGCAGGUAUUUUUCUGUGUGAGACCUGGUCAAGGCGGUCGCAGUGGUUCAAAUACUUAACAGACCGCUGCUGGCAAGUGUGAAGUGCCCCUCCCAUAAGCUGUGUUGGAGAGGGGCAGGGAAUUUUCUUGCCACCUAGGCUGGUUGGUGGGGGCAUUCAUUCGAAGCCACCCAGAUAAUGAGCUGUUUGCUGCUAGGAAGUUAGUGAUAUGUCCUUACCUGGUCUGGCAGCUACGAGUACAUCCACCACCCAAGUUUCCAAUGCAGAUUGCUGGAGCCCACCUCGCCUCUCGCCUCUCAAUGAAGAGCACCGGGACGGCAUCUAAUCGGCGCCACCCAGCGGUCCUUGGAUGAUAGAAACCAACGAUGCCAGCGGUCGGUGUUCUGAGGCGCACGCGUAACGGGUCCCGGCGCCUCUCUGUUGGGUGAGCACUGACCGCCGGCCCGGGGGGGCUCUACAGGGUCAGCUCUGUGCCACCGACGAAGCGUCGCGCUCCAGCGGCCGGUGUCUCCAGUGGGUCUUCGCUGCAACGCACACGCCCUGCUUCUCUCUUGCCAGCAAGAUUGGUCUGUUAAGUAUUUGAACUACUUCGACGUCGGCGGCGUCGUUCCUGACGGUCCCCGUCAGCAGCGUGUCCCUGGCGCGCAGCGUCAGCUCCCAGGCGUCGCCCGUCAGCAGGGCGAGGGGCUGAAGAGCCGGCGCAGCUGCGGCAUUGCGUGCGCCGCCCGCAGGUGCUCCUCGAGCGGGAACGACAUGCCGAGCUCCUCGACGGUCGGCCCCGCUCGCUCCAGCAGCAUCAGCGUCCAGGCGGGAUCUCGGCAGCACACCACCAGAGGUACACUCACCCCUUUCGCGGCUUGCAGGGCAUCCCGCUUCUCCAGCAGCUUGUCGUCGGGCGCACUGGCGCUGGCCUCGUGGGCGUCGAGCUCCUCCGGGUUAGCCCGGGCUGCUCCGGUGACGGUCGGUGUUCUGAGGCGCACGGCGUAACGGGUCCCGGCGCCUCUCUGUUGGGUGAGCACUGACCGCCGCUGUCUCCAGUGGGUCCUCGCUGCAACGCACACGCCCUGCUUCUCUCUUGCCAGCAAGGUUGGUCUGUUCAGUACUUGAACUACUUCGACAUCGGCGGGGGCGGCCGUGCUCACCAUGAGGUGCAGCUCCUCCAGCGAGUGCGCGUGCGCCUGGAGCAGCGACUGCAACGUGGGCCGCGGGAGCACCCACACCAUUAGCCAGCGGAGGCCCUGGCCGCGAGCUGGGGCCUGGCGGCGGGGGCUGCGGGACCCACGUGGAGUUGCAGAUCCUCGAGCGAGUGGGCGCGCCUGGAGUGGCGAAGCCGAAGGCUGCAGUGGAUCCUUGUUGCUCCACACACGCCAAGCUUGUUGUGUCUGUUAAUUUGGCAGCAACCUGUUUCAUAAACUUUUUGGACUGGAAGCUGAGCUUUGUUGGACAGUAUGGUACAGUACAAUGUUUAGUAUAUUCUGAAAUCAACCAUUAAUUCUGGGUCUCAUAUUGGGCGGUAAUAUUGCUUUGGUUGCUUUGUCUAUCACUUGAUCUAUGAGCAACAGAAUAUUUUGAAAUAGAAUAUUGAAUUCAUGUCAUCAUUAUUUGAUUUCAUUUUCCACAAUGGGAAACGCUGUUCUGCUGCUUUGAGCUGUCAGUUUGAACCCUGUCAAAAUCGUACUUUAGGUUA